RNAcentral lists this ribosomal RNA (1428 nucleotides) under uncultured organism. Its description in RNAcentral is "16S ribosomal RNA". It matches the Rfam family "Bacterial small subunit ribosomal RNA". The record is from RNAcentral.
CAGGCUUAACACAUGCAAGUCGAGGGGCAGCAUGGUCUUAGCUUGCUAAGGCCGAUGGCGACCGGCGCACGGGUGAGUAACACGUAUCCAACCUGCCGUCUACUCUUGGACAGCCUUCUGAAAGGAAGAUUAAUACAAGAUGGCAUCAUGAGUCCGCAUGUUCACAUGAUUAAAGGUAUUCCGGUAGACGAUGGGGAUGCGUUCCAUUAGAUAGUAGGCGGGGUAACGGCCCACCUAGUCUUCGAUGGAUAGGGGUUCUGAGAGGAAGGUCCCCCACAUUGGAACUGAGACACGGUCCAAACUCCUACGGGAGGCAGCAGUGAGGAAUAUUGGUCAAUGGGCGAGAGCCUGAACCAGCCAAGUAGCGUGAAGGAUGACUGCCCUAUGGGUUGUAAACUUCUUUUAUAAAGGAAUAAAGUCGGGUAUGGAUACCCGUUUGCAUGUACUUUAUGAAUAAGGAUCGGCUAACUCCGUGCCAGCAGCCGCGGUAAUACGGAGGAUCCGAGCGUUAUCCGGAUUUAUUGGGUUUAAAGGGAGCGUAGAUGGAUGUUUAAGUCAGUUGUGAAAGUUUGCGGCUCAACCGUAAAAUUGCAGUUGAUACUGGAUAUCUUGAGUGCAGUUGAGGCAGGCGGAAUUCGUGGUGUAGCGGUGAAAUGCUUAGAUAUCACGAAGAACUCCGAUUGCGAAGGCAGCCUGCUAAGCUGCAACUGACAUUGAGGCUCGAAAGUGUGGGUAUCAAACAGGAUUAGAUACCCUGGUAGUUCACACGGUAAACGAUGAAUACUCGCUGUUUGCGAUAUACAGCAAGCGGCCAAGCGAAAGCGUUAAGUAUUCCACCUGGGGAGUACGCCGGCAACGGUGAAACUCAAAGGAAUUGACGGGGGCCCGCACAAGCGGAGGAACAUGUGGUUUAAUUCGAUGAUACGCGAGGAACCUUACCCGGGCUUAAAUUGCAGAUGAAUUAUGGUGAAAGCCGUAAGCCGCAAGGCAUCUGUGAAGGUGCUGCAUGGUUGUCGUCAGCUCGUGCCGUGAGGUGUCGGCUUAAGUGCCAUAACGAGCGCAACCCUUGUUGUCAGUUACUAACAGGUUCCGAUGAGGACUCUGACAAGACUGCCAUCGUAAGAUGUGAGGAAGGUGGGGAUGACGUCAAAUCAGCACGGCCCUUACGUCUGGGGCUACACACGUGUUACAAUGGGGGGUACAGAGGGCCGCUACCACGCGAGUGGAUGCCAAUCCCCAAAACCUCUCUCAGUUCGGACUGGAGUCUGCAACCCGACUCCACGAAGCUGGAUUCGCUAGUAAUCGCGCAUCAGCCACGGCGCGGUGAAUACGUUCCCGGGCCUUGUACACCCCGCCCGUCAAGCCAUGGGAGCCGGGGGUACCUGAAGUGCGUAACCGAGAGGAGCGCCCUAGGGUAAAACUGGUGAC